GCGAGUGACACGGGGUGCCGAUCCCAUGACGACCGGCUGAGAACACACCCGUCGAACCUGAUCUCGUUAGUCCGAGCGAAGGGAUGUCGCGAAUGAGCAUU
Regulatory RNA element from Plantibacter sp. Leaf314, 101 nucleotides. It matches the Rfam family "TPP riboswitch aptamer (THI element)". Rfam says of the family: Vitamin B(1) in its active form thiamin pyrophosphate (TPP) is an essential coenzyme that is synthesised by coupling of pyrimidine and thiazole moieties in bacteria. The previously detected thiamin-regulatory element, thi box was extended, resulting in a new, highly conserved RNA secondary structure, the THI element, which is widely distributed in eubacteria and also occurs in some archaea. The record is from Rfam. Lineage: Bacteria; Bacillati; Actinomycetota; Actinomycetes; Micrococcales; Microbacteriaceae.